CGGCGGAGAACUCUCACAGGCCAUUAGAAGGCCCUUUCUAUCAGGGUGUAUAUAGGCGAACGGAUCCUCCAACGUAGGGUUUCUUUAGUUUGCUUCGACUCCAAGGUUUCGCUGCGGCCGCCCGGAGCUCUUAUCAGCAGCGGAAAUGCCAUCACACAAGACGUUCCGGAUCAAGAAGAAGCUGGCGAAGAAGAUGAGGCAGAACAGGCCAAUUCCUCACUGGAUCCGCCUGCGGACGGACAACACCAUCAGGUACAACGCGAAGCGCAGGCAUUGGCGUCGAACCAAGUUAGGGUUUUGAGGUUGCGCCUGAUUCACCCGUUUGUCCUUCUUGAUUGUUUUGGUCAGCUUUCACAUGAAUCAUGCCUUAUUUUAACGGAUUUUCAUGUUAUUAUGUGUGUCUGAGUCUAGUGGAGAUUGUUUUUAAAGUGAAAUUUAUAUCACACCUGAGAUUUACUGUGAUGCAUAAAUACUUUAAAAUUGGCUUCUUCGUGAUUUGAAGUAGCAUUUGAAUGGUGUUCUUUGUC
RNA transcript from Zingiber officinale, 527 nucleotides. It is a transcript of the gene named 60S ribosomal protein L39, with no coding region annotated. The transcript has 4 exons. The record is from RefSeq and is a predicted model, not a curated record. NCBI's taxonomy places the organism in Eukaryota, Viridiplantae, Streptophyta, Magnoliopsida, Zingiberales, Zingiberaceae.